CCUACGGGGUGCAGCAGUGAGGAAUAUUGGUCAAUGGACGAGAGUCUGAACCAGCCAAGUAGCGUGAAGGAUGACUGCCCUAGGGGUUGUAAACUUCUUUUAUAUGGGAAUAAAACGUUCCACGUGUGGGAUUUUGUAUGUACCAUAUGAAUAAGGAUCGGCUAACUCCGUGCCAGCAGCCGCGGUAAUACGGAGGAUCCGAGCGUUAUCCGGAUUUAUUUGGUGGAAAGGGAUCGUAGGUGGAUUGUUAAGUCAGUUGUGAAAGUUUGCGGCUCAACCGUAAAAGUGCAGUUGAAACUGGCAGUCUUUAGUACAGUAGAGGUGGGCGGAAUUCGUGGUGUAGCGGUGAAAUGCUUAGAUAGCACGAAGAACUCCGAUUGCGAAGGCAGUUCACUGGACUGCAACUGACACUGAGGCUCGAAAGUGUGGGUAUCAAACAGGAUUAGAUACCCUUGUAGUC
Molecule: ribosomal RNA, 460 nt
Filed under: uncultured bacterium
Lineage: Bacteria
Description: partial 16S ribosomal RNA
Rfam family: Bacterial small subunit ribosomal RNA
Source: RNAcentral